RNAcentral lists this ribosomal RNA (406 nucleotides) under uncultured bacterium. Its description in RNAcentral is "partial 16S ribosomal RNA". It matches the Rfam family "Bacterial small subunit ribosomal RNA", at positions 30 to 526 of the family's 1533-position model. The record is from RNAcentral.
AUUGAACGCUGGCGGCAAGCCUAAUACAUGCAAGUCGAACGAGUGGCGGACGGGUGAGUAAUGUCUGGGAAACUGCCUGAUGGAGGGGGAUCACUACUGGAAACGGUAGCUAAUACCGCCUACUAUCGGAUGUGCCCAGAUGGGAUUAGCUAGUAGGUGGGGUAAAGGCUCACCUGGGUGACGAUCCCUCGCUGGUCUGAGAGGAUGACCAGCCACACUGGAACUGAGCCACGUUCCAGACUCCUACGGGAGGCAGCAGUGGGGAAUAUUGCACAAUGGGCGCAAGCCUGAGGCAGCCAUGCCGCGGGUAUGAAAAAGGCCUUCGGGUUGUAAAGUACUUUCAGCGGGGAGGCGUUACCCGCAGAAGAAGCACCGGCUAACUCCGUGCCAGCAGCCGCGGUAAUUC